GGUGACUUGAAGCUUAUCAAUCAAAGCCACACCUGAAGAAAAAUCACUGGUAACCACUUUGGUGCACGAGCACAGCAUGGUGCUCUCCCACAAAUGCUGUAAAUAGGUAGGGUUUAGGUGUUGUUCUGUUUCUUUUCUUAUCUUCCUUGCCCAUACCCAUCCGUAUGAUGCGGAAUUCUUGGAAGUGGGAACAAUAUUAUUACUCUUUUAGUCAUUCUAAAGCUGCACUGAAAAUAGAAGCUCCUCGCUGCAGGUUGCAAAGUCCCAUUGAGCUGCCAGCUGUACAGUGGAAACUUCCCUAAGAUGUUUGCUGGUACCUGUGCCCUGGGCAUGUCAUCUGCUACAGAUCCCUCUUCCUCCAGACCUGUGCUGAGCUGGCUGCUUUCAGGGUGAAAUGCUGCUGAAACGUCAGAUUUUUAAGAGAACCUUUUCUUAGGACUCUGCAGGAUGCUCAGGAAUAUUGCAGGUGUAAAAAGAAAUUGUGAGUAGCUGGGAAAGUGCUGAUCAGGUGUCCCUGGCAGGUCCAGCUUUAACACGAACCAUAAUUUAUUACAUUAAAAAGUAACUGGACCGUGCAAGGUCCUUGUCCCCACUGGACACUGGUGGGUACCUGUGUUGUGGUGCUGGACCAGUGGGGAAUUCCAUGAGUUUCCCCCCACUUUCCAGUGUCAGGGGAGGCUGGAUUGACCUUGGGACUUCAUCAGCCUGUCUCCUGGAUGCAGGAGAACAUUCAAGUGCAGAAGGGGGGGGAUAGGUGGAUAUUUCCCUGCCAUGCUUUAAAUGGAGUUCCCUCUAGGUCAGGCGUGUAUCACCAGUGCUAAAUUUACUUCAAAAUAUUACUGAGGUGGGGAGGUUUGUGAGUCAGGUCUAUAAAAGCAUGCACUGCUUAUGUAAAGAAAUACAGCUUGGAAAGAGGCAGGAGGCUGGAGGGACUUGGGCUGCAGUGAGACCAUUCCUGGUGUGUCUCUGCCUUCUCAACAUAAAUAGGUCUUUGUAUUCGUGUAGCGACUGUGCCUUCAGGUUGUGUGUGUUCCUUACAGCAGGACUGAGGGAUCUGCUGGCCAGCUCUUCUUCUGUUUCCAAACAUCUCAGGAAAUGUAGAUAAUUUUUCAAGCCCACGCUCUGGCUUAGAUGAAAUUGUUUUAAAAUAAAAAACAAACACUGGGGGAUGAUCAAGUCUUGAUGCUUCAGGGUUGCUUCAGGUGGAGUUGUGCUGCGGUGCCUCUGGGAGGGGAAAGGAGGGAUGGGAAGGAUGUUGCUGUGGGGAUUUUGCUGUUUGGAUCUCUUUCAUUCAUUCAGGUGCCCAUGUCUGUGUGGUCUUGAACACGUGAGGUCCUGGAGUCAGCUGAGUCUGUGCCAGCAGAGCAUCUCUGUGCCUUUGCCAUGGCAGGUGUUGGCCACCCUGAACCACCACCACAUCCCAGGGGAAUGAGCUUCUCCUGUGCUUCCUCAGGGAAAGAUAUUCCUUAACUCAGCAGCCAAAUUCCUGCUGCAAUUGUCGUGCUGUUAAUGCUCUUGGGAGGGACGAAAGUGGAAGUGCUGUGCCUGAUGUCAGGGCCCACAAAGCUUCACUUUUGAUCCCUGCUGCUGCUGGUGGCACCUGCCUCCCCAUGUGUGUCCUGCUUCGCUGGGAGAGCGAAGGAAUUGUCCUCAGGAAGCUGCGAGACUGUUACCUCUG
Long non-coding RNA from Neopelma chrysocephalum (saffron-crested tyrant-manakin), 1678 nucleotides. RefSeq lists it as uncharacterized. The record is from RefSeq and is a predicted model, not a curated record. The transcript is spliced from 2 exons. NCBI's taxonomy places the organism in Eukaryota, Metazoa, Chordata, Aves, Passeriformes, Pipridae.